RNAcentral lists this ribosomal RNA (441 nucleotides) under uncultured bacterium. RNAcentral's name for it is "partial 16S ribosomal RNA". It matches the Rfam family "Bacterial small subunit ribosomal RNA", at positions 338 to 795 of the family's 1533-position model. The record is from RNAcentral.
CCUACGGGUGGCAGCAGUGGGGAAUAUUGCACAAUGGGGGAAACCCUGAUGCAGCGACGCCGCGUGAGUGAAGAAGUCUUUCUGUAUGUAAAGCUCUAUCAGCAGGGAAGAAGAACGACGUUCCCUUACUCAGACGCCCCGGCUAACUACGUGCCAGCAGCCGGGGUACUACGUAGGGGGCAAGCGUUAUCCGGAUUUACUGGGUGUAAAGGGAGCGUAGACGGCUGUGCAAGUCUGAAGUGAAAGCCCAGGGCUCAACCCUGGGACUGCUUUGGAAACUGUGGAGCUAGAGUGCGGGAGAGGUAAGUGGAAUGCGUAGUGUAGCGGUGAAAUGCGUAGAUAUUAGGAGGAACACCAGUGGCGAAGGCGGCAUACUGGACAGUAACUGACGUUGAGGCUCGAAAGCGUGGGGAGCGAACAGGAUUAGAUACCCUAGUAGUC